GUGGACAGGAUCAUCCUCCAGCUGAACCGUUACUACCCACAGAUCCUUACCAACAAGGAGGCGGAAAAGGUGCUGAGGAGUUCCGGAACCCCAAGGCAUCCUUGCGUGUGCGGCUCUGUGACCUCCUGAGCCACCUGCAGCGGAGCGGUGAGCGGGACUGCCAGGAGUUCUACCGAGCCCUGUAUAUCCAUGCCCAGCCCCUGCACAGCCGCCUGCCCAGCCGCCACGCUCUGCGACCCAUGAGCUUCCUGGCUGGCCUGGGCCUUGCUGUGGGACUGGCCCUGCUCCUGUACUGCUAUCCGCCAG
Molecule: non-coding RNA, 306 nt
Filed under: Pongo abelii (Sumatran orangutan)
Lineage: Eukaryota; Metazoa; Chordata; Mammalia; Primates; Hominidae
Also listed under: 1 other name
Source: RNAcentral